UUAUUGAACGCUGGCGGCAGGCCUAACACAUGCAAGUCGAACGGUAACAUUUCUAGCUUGCUAUNAGAUGACGNGUGGCGGACGGGUGAGUAAUGCUUGGGAACUUGCCUUUGCGAGGGGGAUAACAGUUGGAAACGACUGCUAAUACCGCAUAAUGUCUUCGGACCAAACGGGGCUUAGGCUCCGGCGCAAAGAGAGGCCCAAGUGAGAUUAACUAGUUGGUAAGGUAACGGCUUACCAAGGCGACGAUCUCUANCUGUUCUGAGAGGAAGAUCAGCCACACUGGGACUGAGACACGGCNCAGACUCC
This 309-nucleotide ribosomal RNA is filed under the name Alteromonas sp. NBF38. Its description in RNAcentral is "bacterial SSU rRNA". It matches the Rfam family "Bacterial small subunit ribosomal RNA", at positions 30 to 339 of the family's 1533-position model. The record is from RNAcentral. Lineage: Bacteria; Pseudomonadati; Pseudomonadota; Gammaproteobacteria; Alteromonadales; Alteromonadaceae.